CACACAGUCCAAAAAAGACAACACAAAGAAGACAGAUACAAGCACAUGCAUGUAAACAAACAGGACAGCACAGCUACAACCCAUCCCAAUCUAGACUUCGCCCCAGCCCAGCCCUGGCGCCCCCGGACGCCUGUCACACCUGUUGGGUGCUCACCAGGAAGCGAACCACUUGGCGAGUGUUGGCGGAGGCGUUGCUGUGGGAGUGGGCGCAGGGGGAGCUGGGGGUGCUGUCACUGGUCAGGCUGGGCAGGUGAUCAUUGGUGCCAUUGUCCUGGGCCAGCUGGCGAAGGUACUCCAGUCUCCUCUGGCGGCCCAGCUGAAGGGAGAGCAGAGACUGGAGCUGCAGUCGCUCGAUGGAGCCCAGUAGGAUCAUGGACUCUGAGAGAAAGGGAAACAAGGGGGAUAAUAGGGGAUGGGGAACUUGUGAGGGAACAAGGUUGAGGUGUCAACACAGACAAAGAUCAUAAAAAGAGGUAGAAAACAAAA
This is a long non-coding RNA of Notolabrus celidotus (New Zealand spotty), 486 nucleotides long. RefSeq lists it as uncharacterized. Lineage: Eukaryota; Metazoa; Chordata; Actinopteri; Labriformes; Labridae. The transcript has 2 exons. The record is from RefSeq and is a predicted model, not a curated record.